RNAcentral lists this non-coding RNA (45 nucleotides) under Schistosoma haematobium. Lineage: Eukaryota; Metazoa; Platyhelminthes; Trematoda; Strigeidida; Schistosomatidae. The record is from RNAcentral.
AUCCAGUUGACGAGUCCCAAAUAGGACGAUAUGCGCGUCCUGGAU